CCAACGGCCCUCUUUAGGGCCACCAUCUUAAGGUUUCUUUGUAUU
Strongyloides stercoralis is the source of this 45-nucleotide non-coding RNA. NCBI's taxonomy places the organism in Eukaryota, Metazoa, Nematoda, Chromadorea, Rhabditida, Strongyloididae. The record is from Rfam.